UACGAGGGGGGCGAGCGUUGUUCGGAAUUAUUGGGCGUAAAGGGCGCGUAGGCGGCUUUCCGCGCGUGCGGUGAAAGCCCGGGGCUCAACUCCGGGUCGGCCGUGCGGACGGGGGAGCUAGAGUCUGGUAGAGGCUGAUGGAAUUCCGGGUGUAGCGGUGGAAUGCGUAGAGAUCCGGAAGAACACCGGUGGCGAAGG
Molecule: ribosomal RNA, 198 nt
Filed under: uncultured prokaryote
Description: partial 16S ribosomal RNA
Rfam family: Bacterial small subunit ribosomal RNA
Source: RNAcentral